UGCCAGCAGCCGCGGUAAUACGAAGGGACCUAGCGUAGUUCGGAAUUACUGGGCUUAAAGAGUACGUAGGUGGUUAAAAAAGUUGGUGGUGAAAUCCCAAGGCUUAACCCUGGAACUGCCAUCAAAACUUUUUAACUAGAGUAUGAUAGAGGUAAGUGGAAUUUCUAGUGUAGAGGUGAAAUUCGUAGAUAUUAGAAAGAACUCCGAUUGCGAAGGCAGCUUUCUGGAUCAUUACUGACACUGAGGUACGAAAGCAUGGGUAGCGAAGAGGAUUAGAUA
This 279-nucleotide ribosomal RNA is filed under the name uncultured bacterium. RNAcentral describes it as "partial 16S ribosomal RNA". It matches the Rfam family "Bacterial small subunit ribosomal RNA", at positions 506 to 784 of the family's 1533-position model. The record is from RNAcentral.